RNAcentral lists this ribosomal RNA (600 nucleotides) under uncultured bacterium. RNAcentral's name for it is "bacterial SSU rRNA". It matches the Rfam family "Bacterial small subunit ribosomal RNA", at positions 740 to 1343 of the family's 1533-position model. The record is from RNAcentral.
CUGACGCUAAAGCUCGAAAGGUGCGGGUAUCGAACAGGAUUAGAUACCCUGGUAGUCCGCACGGUAAACGAUGGAUGCCCGCUGUCGGCGACAUACUGUCGGCGGCCAAGCGAAAGCGUUAAGCAUCCCACCUGGGGAGUACGCCGGCAACGGUGAAACUCAAAGGAAUUGACGGGGGCCCGCACAAGCGGAGGAACAUGUGGUUUAAUUCGAUGAUACGCGAGGAACCUUACCCGGGCUUGAACUGCAGGAGAACGAUCCAGAGAUGGUGAGGCCCUUCGGGGCUCCUGUGGAGGUGCUGCAUGGUUGUCGUCAGCUCGUGCCGUGAGGUGUCGGCUUAAGUGCCAUAACGAGCGCAACCCCUUUCGCCAGUUGCCAUCAGGUGAUGCUGGGCACUCCGGUGACACUGCCACCGUAAGGUGUGAGGAAGGUGGGGAUGACGUCAAAUCAGCACGGCCCUUACGUCCGGGGCUACACACGUGUUACAAUGGGUGGUACAGAGAGUCAGCGGCCGGCAACGUCCGCUCAAUCAUGAAAGCCAUCCUCAGUUCGGAUUGGGGUCUGCAACCCGACCCCAUGAAGCUGGAUUCGCUAGUAAUC